This 369-nucleotide ribosomal RNA is filed under the name uncultured bacterium. RNAcentral's name for it is "bacterial SSU rRNA". It matches the Rfam family "Bacterial small subunit ribosomal RNA", at positions 525 to 896 of the family's 1533-position model. The record is from RNAcentral.
ACGGAGGAUGCAAGCGUUAUCCGGAUUCAUUGGGUUUAAAGGGUGCGCAGGCGGGUUUGUAAGUCAGUGGUGAAAUACUGCCGCUUAACGGUAGGAUUGCCAUUGAUACUGCAAAUCUUGAGUAUGGUUGAGGUAGGCGGAAUGUGCAGUGUAGCGGUGAAAUGCAUAGAUAUUGUACAGAACGCCGAUUGCGAAGGCAGCUUACUAAGCCAUUACUGACGCUGAGGCACGAAAGCGUGGGGAUCGAACAGGAUUAGAUACCCUGGUAGUCCACGCCGUAAACGAUGUUCACUCGCUGUUUGCGAUAAACAGCAAGCGGCUAAGCGAAAGCGUUAAGUGAACCACCUGGGGAGUACGAUCGCAAGGUUG